Non-coding RNA from Paramormyrops kingsleyae, 4722 nucleotides. NCBI's taxonomy places the organism in Eukaryota, Metazoa, Chordata, Actinopteri, Osteoglossiformes, Mormyridae. The record is from RefSeq and is a predicted model, not a curated record.
UGUACAAACAAGUGCCUUCAUGUUUACAGUGCUGCACAUUGUUUCCGAGUGUGAAAUUUUUACCAGUGCCCAAGGCAAAUCCACCUACGCCGUACUGGGAGUAUGGCAAUUGUGAGGCCAUCAGUAAUCUUCUGAAUGCCGAGAUCAGGUUUAAUGAGCUAGCGCAGGAUCUCAAUACCAGCUUAGUGCCUAGUCUAGAGACGUUGCUUCCAUUCCGAGAAGAACAACUGAGACGGAAUCUGGAAAGUUGCCAGUUUGACAUAAACCAAGAGUUCAAGUUUUAUAAUCCAGAAUAGCUGCUACACUGUAACUCCCCAAUCUCUUAGUAAGUCGCUGAUGGUUUUUAAAUAAUCAUCUUGCUAUAUUUUCAUUUGACAAAUAUAUGAUUAUAUGCUGCUUUUGGCAAAAGUGUCUGCUAUAUAAAUGUAAACGUCCAAAUGCAAAAGCGUACAUCUCUUAAAACUCACGCCUAAACAAUUUACAAAAUAGAUACCUGACUAUAUCUAAAUUUGGAUUUGUUAUUUAUAGACAGCCUUUUUACAUUUAAUAAUUCUUGUGUUUAUCAUUGGUUUGACCCUUCUAACUUUAAUAGCAACGAAAGAUAAAGAAAAUGACCUUUUAUUCUUCAGUUUAUUCAGCAAUACACACGUGCUGAUUUUUUUUAGUUUGUAAAAAAACUACAAUUUUACUAUGCUUAUUGCCUACUUUUACUUAUGUUAUUCUUUGUUGGGUUUAUUUCUACCUGGUAUAGUUUGCUGUAUUUAUUCAUCCCUUCUGUAAUACAGGACAAAGAAAUUCACUCAUUUAAUCAUAUAGUGAUUUUAUUGUUCAUUACAUUAAGUAGCAUAGUCACUGUCAUAAAUUGCUCCACUGGAGAUCCCCUAACCUCCCUCCAGACAGAACAGCCAUGGUGUUGCAAAAACAAAUAGAGCAUAUGUCUUGCCAGCAGGCCCAACCUGACCUUCAUAGUCCAGGAGGAACCCUCACAUAAUUACAGAUGACACUUAGGGAGGAGGUCUCUCCUCUGCUAUGAAGUGUUACUUCACCAUUCAAGUGAGGUGGUUAAAACAGACCUUCGGUUCUUCUGUCAAAACAUUUACAUUUACAUGUGUUGCUGUGAAUGAUCCAUUUUCUCAAACAUGCCAACAAACACUUCAUUUGGCUUAUUCCUAGCUAGGUGUCGGGUACUUUAACUCGAGGGCUUUCCUGGGUUGAAGCUUAACAACCUCUGCAGAAAGGGGCCCUCAACCAACCUGGUUCAUUAUAUUUUAAACCUAAAGUUGCCACCCAUCAUAUACAUUACAGGAAAAUGACACAGUGUGCCCCUUUUCGAAUUAAAAUGGCAUGCGUCUGCAAGCCCAUCACCCACCAGCAUUUUUAAAAAUGUUAUUGUUAUUUUUUAUUUUAUUUAUCCAUUAUUUUACCAGAAAUGUCCCAUUGAGAUACAUUAUCUCUUCUUCCAGGGAGUCCUGGCCAAGGUGGCAGCAAUACGUUACAAAAGUUCCAACAUAAACAAACAACUUACACAUAGAACAUGUAAUAUUAACACCUAAAGACAUACAAACAUACCAAUGAAUACAAUACAAUAAACACAGACUAUCAAACUAAAAUACAUGGAAAUUCCAAUUGUCAAAAAAGGCAGAGUGAGUUAUGGGCAAGGAGAAGAGAAAAUAUAUAUAUAAGUAUAUGGGCUACAAAUUAUGAAAAACAAUGGCAUUGUUGUAUAAGAACUGAUUUUAAAAGAUUUUUGAAAACAUUUAGAGAGGGUAGGGAGUCCAAAUUUAGAAUGUUUUGUAAUGAAUUCCACUCAUGUGGUGCAUAUGAGCAAAAAGCGGAUUUGCCUAGCUCUGUCCGAGUUAUUGAAGAACAAAGGAGGAGUUUUACUGAUGAACACGUACUGUAAGUAUUAGUGUGAAGUGUCAGUAGAUUACAUAUGUACUGAGGUAGUUUACCCAUUAAAGCCAUUGCAGUAAAUACUAGGCAGUGAGAUUUCCUUCUAAGCUGUAAUGAUGUCCAUUGCACCAUGUCAUAAAGAUCACAGUGAUGUGUUCUUGCUGCAGCACCAGUUACAAAUUUCAAAGCAGAAUGAUAAACAACGUCCAGCUUUUUCAGAUGGGCUGUGGAUGCAUGCAUGUAUAUUAUAUCACCAUAAUCUAAUAUUGAUAGGAAAGCGCUCAGUACUUUCUGGCAGUAAAAGGAAAGCAUUUUUUCAAACGAUAAUAAAAACCUAAUUUAGGACGAAGCUUUUUCAACAUACUUUCUAUAUGGACUCCAAAUGACAGCUUGUCAUCAAGCCAGAUUCCAAGAUAUUUGUAAGAGUUUACCCUUUCUAGUUUAGUGCCAUCUAGUGUUAAAAGAGUAUACACAGAGGAAGAGCAUGAGUGAUUAAAAAUCAUAAAUUUAGUUUUUUUUAGCAUUUAACACCAGUUUCGAUUUGAGAAGGGUCAAUUGUAAGAAUUUGAAUGCACGCUGUAAGGAAUCCAUUGCUACUUGCAAUGAUGAUGCAGUUGUAUAAAGAAUUGUAUCAUCAGCAUAUAGGUGAAUUUUUGCUGGGUCUAACCCCAUGCACAUAUUAUUUAUGUAAAUAGAGAAUAAAACAGGCCCUAAAAUUGAACCUUGUGGCACACCAGUUUUUACUGUAAGUAAUGUAGAUCUAAAACCUUCUAUCACUACACACUGAGUUCUCCCAUUUAAGUAGUUGGAGAACCAGUCAAAAACAGUGCUACUAAAACCUAUAGCCUGUAAUCUUUGUUAAACAAGACCAUGGUCAACAGUAUCAAAUGCUUUUGUUAAAUCUAUAAAUAGUACAGCACAUGAUUUUUUGUUGUCCAAAGCAGUGAUUAUAUCAUUUGUGACAGAAGUUACUGCAGUUAUUGUACUGUGGCCCUGUCUAAAACCAGACUGACUAGGGGAUAAUAUUAUUUUCAGACAAAAAGGUUUUAAGUUGUUCAUUUAUAAUAGAUUCAAAUAUUUUAGCUGUAACAGACAACCUGGAAAUAGGACGAUAAUUGUCUAAAUAGGAAGGAUUGCCUCCUUUUAAUAAUGGGAGGACCAAUGCUGACUUCCAGGAGCUAGGGAUUACCCCACUGCAUAAACUAAGAUUAAAAAUAGAGGCAAUAGGACCAGCAAUCAAAUCUGCAGCUGGCUUUCAAAAGUAAGGUUCAAUUUGGUCUGGCCCAGCAGACGUUUUGCAAUCUAAAUUUAACAAAGCAUUGCAGACCUGAGCAGAAGAGAUGGAGGAGAAAUUAAAGGUCAUAAGACUAUUGGAGUUGGUGCCUAGACAAUCCCCACAAGUUCCAGUGAGACUAGACUGAGUAUUUAUACCAGCAUCAAUGAAGUGCUUAUUAAAGGCAUCUACAGUACUAUGUUUUGUUUACCCUUUAUAUCAUUUUGAUUGAUAAUUAGACAAUCAGGAAGAGUAGGAGGCACCAUGACUGCUACCGUUGAUUUAAUCAAUUUCCAAAAAUUUUUAGGAUCACUUAAAUGAUUAUCUAUUGGGUGAAGGUAGUAUUCGCUUUUUGUAUUUUUUAUAAGCGUAGUGCAUUUGUUUCUCAGCGCUCGGUAAUCUGCCCAGAGUUUGGCCUCAUUACUGACUUUACCUUUGACCCAAGCAGCGUCUCUUUCCCUAACAGCAGCUGCAAUAGUAUUAUUGAACCAUGGGUUAUCUUUACCACUGACUCUAAACUUUCUCAUAGGUGCAUGCUUAUUAAUUAUGGACAGAAGUGUUUUUUAAAAAGUUCCAUGCACAUUCUACAUCCACAAUUUCAUUAACAAGGUUUAAAUCACUAUGAAAUACAUCAUGCAGGAAAGCCUGCCCAUCGAAGCGUUUGUAAUUCCUUUUAAAAAUAAAACAUGACUUGGUUUUGCGGAGUUUACAACUUCUUACACAUGCUAUUGUACAGUGAUCACUGACAUCAUUACAGAAUAUUCCAACAGCAGAAUAUUUAUGUGGUGCAUUUGUUAGAAUGAUGUCCAACAAAGUGGACUUGUCCAUGCAUUUCGGGUUUAAACGUGUCGGAGACUGUAUCAGCUGCGUUAAGUGCGCAGCGUCGCAGAUGUCCUUAAGUGCAUUCGAAGAAGUUGACAGCCAGUCCCAAUUUAUAUCCCCUAAAAGAAUAAGCUCUCUGUCGGAUAAGUUUUGUAGAAGGUCCAAGAGAAAAGUAGUGGCCUCGGGUAAGGCUGACGGUGGGCGAUAGCAGCCUACUACUGCCAGGUCAGCGCCGCUGGGGAGAUUUAAUUUAAUAGCUGCUAAUUCGAGGGAUUUAGGUUUGCUAAUCGAUUUAAUGAGGGAACAGUUCAAAGUGCUCUUAACGUAGAUCGCAACCCCCCCUCCUUUGCUUGCGCGAUCUGAUCUAAAAACAUUAUAUCCCCCGAUGUGUAUCAUAGCGUUCGAAAUUGUCGGUUUCAGCCAAGUUUCAGACAGAACCAUGACGUUGCAUUCAGUCAACUUUGCCCACAGACGAAUAGCAUCCUUUUUACUAAUCAAGCUGCGCACAUUGGCAUGAAUAAAACGUAAUCCACAACUAUCUUUAAGAUCGCCUGAAUUUUGAAGUUGUCAGCUCAGGGCCUGGGUUGGGAUGAAUGUUACCUGACAGGAGUAACAGGAGAAUCAUCCAGUCAGUCUUUAUUUGAUAGCGGUGGUAAAGGUGGUGGCCUGAUGGGGUCCUCCGUCUGUGUUUACAAACAGUAGAGCCGAAUUCAGGCAAGCACAUCUCUUGUAAU